RNAcentral lists this ribosomal RNA (264 nucleotides) under uncultured archaeon. Its description in RNAcentral is "partial 16S ribosomal RNA". It matches the Rfam family "Archaeal small subunit ribosomal RNA", at positions 345 to 610 of the family's 1478-position model. The record is from RNAcentral.
AAAUUUUACAAUGUACGUAAGUGCGAUAAAGGAACUCCCAGUGCUCAUGCUUAGCAUGGGCUUUUGUCAAGAGUAAAUAUCUUGACGAAUAAGUGGUGGGUAAGACUGGUGCCAGCCGCCGCGGUAACACCAGCGCCACGAGUGGGGAUCGCGUUUAUUGGGCCUAAAGCGUUCGUAGCCGGAUAUUCAAGUCUUGAGUGAAAUCGUUGCGCUUAACAAAACGACGUGCUUGAGAUACUGUUUAUCUUGGGACCGGGAGGUGUU